Molecule: transfer RNA, 66 nt
Filed under: Sarcophaga impatiens
Lineage: Eukaryota; Metazoa; Arthropoda; Insecta; Diptera; Sarcophagidae
Description: tRNA-His
Source: RNAcentral
GUUUAAGUAGUUUAAUAUAAAAUAUUGAUUUGUGGUGUCAAUGAUGAAAAUUAUUUUCUUUAAACC